Neofelis nebulosa (Clouded leopard) is the source of this 1245-nucleotide long non-coding RNA. RefSeq lists it as uncharacterized. The transcript has 3 exons. The record is from RefSeq and is a predicted model, not a curated record. NCBI's taxonomy places the organism in Eukaryota, Metazoa, Chordata, Mammalia, Carnivora, Felidae.
GAGACGCAAAAAUGGUGGAAGAGGCAGAGGAGGAGGAAGAGCUGGGGUCCACCUCCUGAGCCUACCCAGGCCUGGGAAGUUUAAGGGAAACAGCUUGUGGUGAUCACUGGGGGAAUAAGAACCAGCUCUGGAGAAGCACUGGGAAGUUGGUGAGUGGAGAAGCAAAGAGACUACAGGUAGAGCAGUCUCAUUGCACUUGGUGGAGAAUACACGCGAGCGUACUUAGUGCUGGGUGGGAGGCCGUUGAUGAUAAGCAUCCACGGAGGAAAGGAGCUCCUGAGGCAGAGGCAGCAGAGGGACAGAAUUUGAACUGGAUGUCGGGACCUAGAGAGAAAGAAGAAAAAGAAGCCAUUGGCCCCUGGGUAUGUGCUGCGGGAGGUACGGGAGACUUCUCUGACUUCUAUCUUCUCCCCCAUGGAAUCCACAUCAGUUCCCCCAAGGAUCUGGGAGACCAUAUUUGCAGGUACCUAGGGAGAGGGUGUGUUGUCAGUGUUCACGUCAAAGUAUAAUUUCCACAAAUUAUAAAUACAAUUCCCAGAAUGAUAUAAAAUGAACAUGUCAAAUGUUUUAUUUGACCCAUCCGUGGAGGAAACCACUGGGAUGGUAAACUGAUUAAAAGAAUAUUUGUGGAACUGGGUAUUUAUAAAGCAAUGUUAGAUUAAGAUUACUAGGUUAUACAUAAAACUGGGUAGUAUCCUACAGGGUAGUAAAACUAUAGUCUUUAAGGUUUUACUACCACUCAGAAAUCUAGAAGUUAACAUGUAACUUCAUGGUAUUUGAGUUCUAAUCAGAUAGUAAAUAGCAAAGUCAAACGCAAGUAUAUUCUCCUAGAGAAUGAGCUAAUCCCUGGGAGGGCCUGCUCAACCAUGCUGCUGUAUGACCUUGAGAAGAUAUGCUGUCCCCUCCUCUCCCACCCCCUUGCAACUUCUGCCCGGGUGCCUUAAUAUCAAGUUGUGGAUGGUUUUAACGGUAAAGAAAUACUUUGGAGUUAAAGAUCUGAGCUUGAAUCCCAAUUCCUUUACUUACCAGCUGUGUCAUAUGGGUCAGGUAAUUACCUAUGAUUUACCCAGAUUUACUUGAUGUAAAUUGGGAGGAGCAAGUGAGAUAACUUUUGUAAAAUGCCUGGCACAUGGUAUGUGCUCAAUCUUGGUUCUCUUUACCCUUCCUCUUUUCCAAAUGAAAACAUUUCACCUUUUGUCUGGCCUUCAUAGAUCUCGCUCUCUCUCCCUCUCGCUCUCUCCCUGU